This 253-nucleotide ribosomal RNA is filed under the name uncultured bacterium. Its description in RNAcentral is "partial 16S ribosomal RNA". It matches the Rfam family "Bacterial small subunit ribosomal RNA", at positions 524 to 776 of the family's 1533-position model. The record is from RNAcentral.
UACGAAGGGGGCUAGCGUUGCUCGGAAUCACUGGGCGUAAAGCGCACGUAGGCGGAUCUUUAAGUCAGGGGUAAAAUCCUGGAGCUCAACUCCAGAACUGCCUUUGAUACUGAGGAUCUUGAGUCCGGGAGAGGUGAGUGGAACUCCGAGUGUAGAGGUGAAAUUCGUAGAUAUUCGGAAGAACACCAGUGGCGAAGGCGGCUCACUGGCCCGGUACUGACGCUGAGGUGCGAAAGCGUGGGGAGCAAACAGG